CCAAUAGCGUAUAUUAAAGUUGUUGCAGUUAAAAAGCUCGUAGUUGAAUUUCAGGCCUGGCUGGGCGGUCCGCCUUUUGGGUGAGUACUGCCUGUGGUCGGGUCCUACCUUCUGGCGAAGCGUCAUGGCCUUAACCGGCCGUGGCGGGGAACCAGGACUUUUCCUGUGAAAAAAUUAGAGUGUUCAAAGCAGGCAGUCGCUUGGAUACAUUAGCAUGGAAUAAUGGAAUAGGACAAUGGUUCUAUUUGUUGGUUUCUAGGACCGUUGUAAUGAUUAAUAUGGAUAGUUGUGGGCAUUAGUAUUCAAUUGUCAGAGGUGAAAUUCUUGGAUUUAUUGAAGACUAACUACUGCGAAAGCAUUUGCCAAGGAUGUUUUCAUUAAUCAAGAACGAAAGUUAGGGGAUCGAAGACGAUCAGAUACCGUCGUAGUCUUAACCAUAAACUAUGCCGACUAGGAAUCGGGCGAUGUUGACAAAAUGACGCGCUCGGCACCUCAUG
RNAcentral lists this ribosomal RNA (497 nucleotides) under uncultured Glomeromycotina. Its description in RNAcentral is "partial small subunit ribosomal RNA". It matches the Rfam family "Eukaryotic small subunit ribosomal RNA", at positions 591 to 1092 of the family's 1831-position model. The record is from RNAcentral. Lineage: Eukaryota; Fungi; Glomeromycota.